UACAGAGGUCCCAAGCGUUGUUCGGAUUCAUUGGGCGUAAAGGGUGCGUAGGUGGCGCCGUAAGUGGGGUGUGAAAUUUCGGAGCUUAACUCCGAAACUGCAUUCCAUACUGCGGUGCUUGAGGACUGGAGAGGAGACUGGAAUUUACGGUGUAGCAGUGAAAUGCGUAGAGAUCGUAAGGAAGACCAGUGGCGAAGGCGGGUCUCUGGACCGAGACUGACGCUGAGGCGCGAAAGCGUGGGGAGCAAACAGG
This 253-nucleotide ribosomal RNA is filed under the name uncultured bacterium. RNAcentral's name for it is "partial 16S ribosomal RNA". It matches the Rfam family "Bacterial small subunit ribosomal RNA", at positions 524 to 776 of the family's 1533-position model. The record is from RNAcentral.